GAUGAACGCUGGCGGCGUGCCUAAUACAUGCGAGUCGAGCGAACAGACGAGGAGCUUGCUCCUCUGACGUUAGCGGCGGACGGGUGAGUAACACGUGGAUAACCUACCUAUAAGACUGGGAUAACUUCGGGAAACCGGAGCUAAUACCGGAUAACAUGUUGAACCGCAUGGUUCAACAGUGAAAGACGGUCUUGCUGUCACUUAUAGAUGGAUCCGCGCCGCAUUAGCUAGUUGGUAAGGUAACGGCUUACCAAGGCAACGAUGCGUAGCCGACCUGAGAGGGUGAUCGGCCACACUGGAACUGAGACACGGUCCAGACUCCUACGGGAGGCAGCAGUAGGGAAUCUUCCGCAAUGGGCGAAAGCCUGACGGAGCAACGCCGCGUGAGUGAAGAAGGUCUUCGGAUCGUAAAACUCUGUUAUUAGGGAAGAACAAAUGUGUAAGUAACUAUGCACGUCUUGACGGUACCUAAUCGGAAAGCCACGGCUAACUACGUG
RNAcentral lists this ribosomal RNA (497 nucleotides) under uncultured bacterium. RNAcentral describes it as "partial 16S ribosomal RNA". It matches the Rfam family "Bacterial small subunit ribosomal RNA", at positions 28 to 507 of the family's 1533-position model. The record is from RNAcentral.